CUCCUCUCAGGAUCACCCCUGGAGAGUUUCCAGUACUCUCCCAGUCUUGACUACGGGAGGGAGAGUCCAGCAGAGGCAUAUCUAUUCCAUUCCUAGCUUGGGCAGUGGUUAGUGAAUGGAAGGCAAACUGCUACAAGU
Non-coding RNA from Ornithorhynchus anatinus (platypus), 138 nucleotides. The record is from Rfam. NCBI's taxonomy places the organism in Eukaryota, Metazoa, Chordata, Mammalia, Monotremata, Ornithorhynchidae.